Molecule: ribosomal RNA, 406 nt
Filed under: uncultured bacterium
Lineage: Bacteria
Description: partial 16S ribosomal RNA
Rfam family: Bacterial small subunit ribosomal RNA
Source: RNAcentral
AUUGAACGCUGGCGGCAGGCUUAACACAUGCAAGUCGAGCGAGCGGCGGACGGGUGAGUAAUGUCUGGGAAACUGCCUGAUGGAGGGGGAUAACUACUGGAAACGGUAGCUAAUACCGCAUACCAUCAGAUGUGCCCAGAUGGGAUUAGCUAGUAGUUGGGGUAAUGGCUCACCUAGGCGACGAUCCCUAGCUGGUCUGAGAGGAUGACCAGCGACACUGGAACUGAGACACGGCCCAGACUCCUACGGGAGGCAGCAGGAGGGAAAAUUGCACAAUGGGCGCAAGCCUGAUGCAGCCAUGCCGCGUGUGUGAAGAAGGCCUUCGGGUUGUAAAGUACUUUCAGCGGGGAGGCGUUACGCGCAGAAGAAGCACCGGCUAACUCCGUGCCAGCAGCCGCGGUAAUUC